This 253-nucleotide ribosomal RNA is filed under the name uncultured bacterium. Its description in RNAcentral is "partial 16S ribosomal RNA". It matches the Rfam family "Bacterial small subunit ribosomal RNA", at positions 524 to 776 of the family's 1533-position model. The record is from RNAcentral.
UACGGAGGGGGCUAGCGUUGUUCGGAAUUACUGGGCGUAAAGCGCACGUAGGCGGCUUUGCAAGUUAGAGGUGAAAGCCCGGGGCUCAACUCCGGAAUUGCCUUUAAGACUGCAUCGCUAGAAUUGUGGAGAGGUAAGUGGAAUUCCGAGUGUAGAGGUGAAAUUCGUAGAUAUUCGGAAGAACACCAGUGGCGAAGGCGACUUACUGGACAGAUACUGACGCUGAGACUCGAAAGCGUGGGGAGCAAACAGG